UCCGUAGGUGAACCUGCGGAGGGAUCAUUACCGAGUUUACAACUCCCAAACCCCUGUGAACAUACCAAUCGUUGCCUCGGCGGAUCAGCCCGCUCCCGGUAAAACGGGACGGCCCGCCAGAGGACCCCUAAACUCUGUUUCUAUAUGUAACUUCUGAGUAAAACCAUAAAUAAAUCAAAACUUUCAACAACGGAUCUCUUGGUUCUGGCAUCGAUGAAGAACGCAGCAAAAUGCGAUAAGUAAUGUGAAUUGCAGAAUUCAGUGAAUCAUCGAAUCUUUGAACGCACAUUGCGCCCGCCAGUAUUCUGGCGGGCAUGCCUGUUCGAGCGUCAUUUCAACCCUCAAGCCCCCGGGUUUGGUGUUGGGGAUCGGCGAGCCCUUGCGGCAAGCCGGCCCCGAAAUCUAGUGGCGGUCUCGCUGCAGCUUCCAUUGCGUAGUAGUAAAACCCUCGCAACUGGUACGCGGCGCGGCCAAGCCGUUAAACCCCCAACUUCUGAAUGUUGACCUCGGAUCAGGUAGGAAUACCCGCUGAACUUAAGCAUAUCAAUAAGCGGAGGA
This 558-nucleotide ribosomal RNA is filed under the name Fusarium sp. PBL11. RNAcentral describes it as "eukaryotic LSU rRNA". The stretch from base 179 to 332 matches the Rfam family "5.8S ribosomal RNA". Lineage: Eukaryota; Fungi; Ascomycota; Sordariomycetes; Hypocreales; Nectriaceae. The record is from RNAcentral.